CCGGGAAACCGGGGCUAAUACCGAAUGAUAGAAUGUGGCGCAUGCCACGCUUUUGAAAGAUGGUUUCGGCUAUCGCUUACAGAUGGGCCCGCGGUGCAUUAGCUAGUUGGUAGGGUAAUGGCCUACCAAGGCAACGAUGCAUAGCCGACCUGAGAGGGUGAUCGGCCACACUGGGACUGAGACACGGCCCAGACUCCUACGGGAGGCAGCAGUAGGGAAUCUUCCGCAAUGGACGAAAGUCUGACGGAGCAACGCCGCGUGUAUGAAGAAGGUUUUCGGAUCGUAAAGUACUGUUGUUAGAGAAGAACAAGGAUAAGAGUAACUGCUUGUCCCUUGACGGUAUCUAACCAGAAAGCCACGGCUAACUACGUGCCAGCAGCCGCGGUAAUACGUAGGUGGCAAGCGUUGUCCGGAUUUAUUGGGCGUAAAGCGCGCGCAGGCGGUCUUUUAAGUCUGAUGUGAAAGCCCCCGGCUUAACCGGGGAGGGUCAUUGGAAACUGGAAGACUGGAGUGCAGAAGAGGAGAGUGGAAUUCCACGUGUAGCGGUGAAAUGCGUAGAUAUGUGGAGGAACACCAGUGGCGAAGGCGACUCUCUGGUCUGUAACUGACGCUGAGGCGCGAAAGCGUGGGGAGCAAACAGGAUU
RNAcentral lists this ribosomal RNA (644 nucleotides) under Listeria monocytogenes. RNAcentral describes it as "bacterial SSU rRNA". It matches the Rfam family "Bacterial small subunit ribosomal RNA", at positions 149 to 779 of the family's 1533-position model. Lineage: Bacteria; Bacillati; Bacillota; Bacilli; Caryophanales; Listeriaceae. The record is from RNAcentral.